GAUGAACGCUGGCGGCGUGCUUAACACAUGCAAGUCGAACGGAAAGGCCCAAGCUUGCUUGGGUACUCGAGUGGCGAACGGGUGAGUAACACGUGGGUGAUCUGCCCCGCACUUCGGGAUAAGCCUGGGAAACUGGGUCUAAUACCGGAUAGGACCACAUUUUGGAUGGUGUGGUGGAAAGUUUUUCGGUGUGGGAUGAGCUCGCGGCCUAUCAGCUUGUUGGUGGGGUAAUGGCCUACCAAGGCGUCGACGGGUAGCCGGCCUGAGAGGGUGUACGGCCACAAUGGGACUGGGGUUCGGGCCCGACCCCCUCCGGGGGCAGGAGGUGGGAAUAUUGCACAAUGGGCGCAAGCCUGAUGCAGCGACGCCGCGUGGGGGAUGACGGCCUUCGGGUUGUAAACUCCUUUCGCUAGGGACGAAGCGCAAGUGACGGUACCUGGAGAAGAAGCACCGGCUAACUACGUG
RNAcentral lists this ribosomal RNA (465 nucleotides) under uncultured bacterium. Its description in RNAcentral is "partial 16S ribosomal RNA". It matches the Rfam family "Bacterial small subunit ribosomal RNA", at positions 28 to 507 of the family's 1533-position model. The record is from RNAcentral.